UGUGCACAAAUUUUUCAACAUCUUGUAAGCAAAAUCAAAAAACGUUUUUUGUUGAGUUGGGUUGACUAUUAAUCUGUGCACUGGUUGAGAUAUGGUGCCACAGUGAAGUUUUAUUCUGAGUGCUUUGUGUCUGUCCUCUCCAGUGAGCCAAGCUGGUCUAUGAACACUGUGUGUAUAUAUGCCCUAGCCACGAGGAAAGGAUACAGACCACCCUGAAAGACACAUUCUGAUCAAGAAGUCUUGCUUGCUGGAGAGAAUGACAGCACAGGGCAUCUGAGCUAUAGCUUCAUAGGGCAUUAUAGCCACUCAGGCAGGUGCAGAGAUUACCACUGAUGUGAAAUGAAAUGUUUCUAUAUUUACAAAAUGAUGUUUUUCCACCAGUUUCACUAUUUUGUCUUUGUCCUGCAGCAGGAUAAAAGCCUACCGUGAAAAUAUAUGAAUUUCCUGUGGGAUUGAUAUUCGUUCCAUUUAUUGUUCAUCUCUACUUUUGAAUACUCUGUACUGUACUGGCAUUUGGGAGUUAGAAAAGACCAGUCUUCCACAGUGAAAAAUCUGUUGUCCCAUUUUGGUCAUGCUGAAAUCUCCAUUCGGUAACUUGGCUCCCGUAAUCCCACUGAGCUUUCAAUUGGUACCGGAAGUCAUUCAAUUAUUUUUACUACCGGCCAUAAUUCACUUUAGAAGACAUGGAUCCUGCUGCUUCCAGCCAUACAAGUUUGUGCUGAAGUACAUCACACGCUGAAGAGAAAAAAACUUGGAUUUGACUCUGCCCUCUUCGCGAAUUAAGUUGGUAACUUCAAAAUAAUAAGAAAACUGAUAUCUGAUUUUCCACAAAUACCUGGCUAUGAAAGGAGUUAUGACACAAACAUGAAUUGGAUGAAAACAACAGGGAUGGUAACCCCUUCUGAGGGCAUGAGA
This is a long non-coding RNA of Alligator sinensis (Chinese alligator), 915 nucleotides long. RefSeq lists it as uncharacterized. The transcript has 3 exons. Lineage: Eukaryota; Metazoa; Chordata; Crocodylia; Alligatoridae. The record is from RefSeq and is a predicted model, not a curated record.